RNA transcript from Sorex araneus (European shrew), 16845 nucleotides. It is a transcript of the gene named protein FAM156A/FAM156B, with no coding region annotated. Lineage: Eukaryota; Metazoa; Chordata; Mammalia; Eulipotyphla; Soricidae. The transcript has 4 exons. The record is from RefSeq and is a predicted model, not a curated record.
CUAGGCUGACCAGACAAACUACAGGUAUGAAGGUGCUUGCCUUCUAGAGGGCUGAUCCCUGCCCUUUGCCUCCACCCCCAAGCACCGCCAGGAGUGGCCUCUGGCAUAGAGCCAGCGUUUGUGUCAGAGCACUGCAGUAUGUAUCCCCAAACCCAAGAGCCAAAAAAGAAAAAAAAUGAAAAAACUGAGGUGCAUGUUCCCAUGUGACCGAGUCCUAAACACAGUCAGCUUUGGAACCUGCUGCUGCAGAAUCGCUGUGUGCACCCUCGUGCAGUAAGCAGUAAGCAGUAAUCUGAGGAGGAUCAGAACCAGAGCCAUGACUGGAUAUGCUGUCAGCGUGAGACUGGCUCUGCUCCCGGAGAGGUCCUGGACCUCCCUGGGAAUUUCUGGAUCAGUCGGGCCCAUUCUGGGGCAGGGAGUCUCUAUGCCGGUGGUCCAGAACCCUGGUAGUGUAGCUGUCGUGAUGCAUGUUGUCACUUUGCCACCCUGGACCUCGGCUCUCCCUCCCUCCUUUGUUAUCAACAGAGAAAACGGUUCCCUCCUGUGGAAGGCUCCUCGGUGUCCCUGAACUAUUGAGCUAUUUUAGGAACUGCCACCAGCAAGCACCACUCUGUCUCAGGCAAUGCCACAAGGUGCUCGGACAGUGGUUUCCAGAUUGCCCUGAACAGCCUGGAAAAGUCAGGUGACGUGUGAACUUGCGAGUGUGCCAUGAGUUCUCUGAGAAAGUUAUUCUGAAAGAAAUGCACUGUUUGCCCGAUUCACUACAACUCCCACUUGAAGGAGCUUCAAUUGAAAUCCCACUGGCAAGAGCUUCCACUGGUUCCUCAGCACUGAUACCAAAUAAAUAAGUGAACAAAAGGAAAUGAACUUCAGGAUUUGGGUUUCUUUGCCUGUAUUCCUGAUACAUCACAGAUCACUACACGUGGGUCCGGGCCAGCAUGUGCAACUUCAUGGAAAGGAAUUCAGUGCAGACUUGAACAGACAGGGCGGAAGGGCAGGCUGACACAUAGCACCUAGCUACUGUUUGGGCCCCUGAGGCAGGACCGGCCUUCUGAUGAGCCCCUGAGCAAGUGGGAGACAGAGAUGCUGUCCACAGACUUGGAAGCAAAGUCUGUUGCCUACAGCAGGGGAUCCUGCGGGCUGCUGCCGCCCCUUCCAGCUCUGCAGAGACCAUGCUCAGGGUCUGCCGCCCAGUUGGUGGCCAGGAACAGCUGUUGCGUGCCGAGCUGAUGGGAUUGGAACAACACUGGGUGACCACUGCACUGUUAGUUUAGAUUUCAGACAUGGACCUUUCCAUCACUGGAGGCAGCAAUGAUUAAGCCUACCACUCUGUGCCACCACAGUACCAGCUCACAUGUUCCUAGAUCGAGACCACUGUGGCAUGAAGGAAAACUCGGCUUUCUGCCAGUCUGCGUCUGUAGGUUGUCCCCGGGGCUCGGUGGCUGCAAAUGUCUACCUCUGAUGACAGAAGUGGCUUGUCCACAGAUCUCCUUGUGCAGUUUCAUUCUAAUCACGGGGUUUCAUCAGACAACUGGGGCUCGACUGAAGCUACUGGGCAGUUUGAAAGCAUUUAAUCUCCACCGUGUGAGUUAGUAAAGCAAAGAACAGAGAAGUUGGACAUUUUCUCAGAGUGCCACAGCAAAGAGAUGAGGAGAGACAGCACAUCGCAGGCUGGCUUCAGGACCUGACCCCAAACCACGUCACCGUCCCGUCACCUCCAAGAGUCUGUGUAGAACGUGAGAGACGUGGCAUUUCAGUGACAUGGAGCAGAUGGGAUCAGUACCCAAGUCUGAGGAAGGGGCAUGUUGUUUCUCUUCACAAGUGCACCGGGGGCGCUCUGCCCCUCCUCCAGCUUGGCUGUUGGCACAGGUAUCUGAGGACAAAAGACACAGACAUAUCUGUGUCCUGAACUGAGCCUGUGAUCUGCCAAACGUGCCUACACGUUUCAGUGUGGUAGAGAAACAUGACAUGCACACGCUGUGUUGCUCGGUGCGGCUGCAAGAGAUCCUAAGGAGCUGCCUUCUGUUUCCCUGGUAACGAGCCUCAGCCCAGGCUUCAAACCUCUUGUCACAGGGACACACAAAGAGGGCUGAGGACUGCCCACCCCUCCUCCCUCCAGCCCAUCCAACCAGCCUCUGAGGCUCCCCUGUGUGCUCAGCCACCUGUGGGGUGAGAAGCAGAGCAGUAACCAAGACAACAGAACUCCAGCUGCCUCUCCUCCUGGGAGCCUCCUCCCUCCCCUCUGCCUGCCUGCCCUUCUGCUAAGCCAGGAAACCUUGUGCUUGGAAGCACAGCCUGAGGACCUGCAGCUGCUCUUCACAGAGCUGUCCGAUGCCCGAGUCAGAAGGGGGCUGAGGAAGAUUCGUGUCUGCUCCAAUGGUCUGUGACAAUUACCCGAACCACUGUAUUUUGUUAGAACCUCCGGUAUCAAUAUACACUACACAAAAUGCAUAUUAACAGGUAUCUGUAAAGUUGUAAUCCCCGAGCAUAACCAGCUAUGGCCUAAACUCUCAAAUUAGAAUGUUCAUUUUGGGGGGCCGCGUUGACGGGCUCAGGGAUCAUUCCUGGUGGGCUCAGGGGCACCAAUGGGGUGCUGGCGAUCGAACCUGGUUGGCCGCGUGCAAAGCAAAUGCCCUGCCCUCUGUACACGCCCUCUGCCUGGCCCCUCAAAUUAAACUAUUCCAGUUAAUUAGCACUAGCCAUCCUACAUGUGAGUGGGAAAAUGUUUUCAUUAUAAUCAUAACAAGCAUCGCUCCAGAGCCUAAGGUUGUACUUCCUUUGUUGCUGCAAUUAUUGUUGUUGUUGGUUUGGGGUCACACCCAGUGGUGCUCAGGACCAUACCUGACUCUGCCCUCAAGGAUCACUCCUGGUGGGCUCCGGGGACCCUAUGGGAUGCAGGGAUCUAAGGCGGGUCAGCCAAGUGCGAGGCAAGAGCCCUACCUGCUGUACUAUUUCUCCAGUCCCCCAAGAUGAUAUAGCAGACUAGAUGGUUAACGCUUAUUUGUGUCUCUUCUUUCUCAGCAGCUCCUGAACUUCUGGUCUGUCUGUCUGACAUUCGUUUGGUGACAACAGUCAGCAGUCCCUCCGAUCUGAGCUUCUGGAAGAAAGCAGGUGCUGCAGACCUUCCCCAGGACUGAGAAGCCUCUGCCUGGAAUGUGGCUCAUCUUCCAGGCAAACUCACAGGCCUUGUCGAGACCUAGAGAACGUACUGUCACAAAAGCCACCUGGACAGAAAGAGAACUUGAACAGUACCAGUACGAGUCUGAACUGAAGGGCUCCUCUCUAAGCAGCCCGAGAGGUUGCCUCAGAGGAGCCUAGAGAGCUGGGGGUGGGGGGCGUGACAGGCAACAGCCUUGAGAGGGGGCCCCACAAGAGCAAUGGAGUGAUAGGGCCUAAAGUCCUAGUGAAGUGAUGGAGUAGGAAUUAUCCAACAAGAUGCCCCCCUUUCACAUGUAAGGACAAGAGGAAUGUGCCAGUGGCUGCUGAAUGACAUAGGAGAUCACUGCGGGCAAAGAGGCUGUGGCAAGGAGAGGGAGCGUCCUGGAAGAGGAUGAGAGGGAGAAGCAAUUCUCUCCUGCUUAGGGAUUUCCAAGGAAACAACUCACAGAGUCAGAAUGGUUCCUUCUCAGGGCGGGGGCGGAUCCCGAGCACGAGCACACGGUGCUCAAUGCAUAACCAGGUGAGUGUCUGCCACCACGUUUCAGCUGCUGAGACAGAGGCACAGGACUAUGCCCUGGACUGGGGCAUCCUGGACUAGGGAGAAAGGACAAAAGGUGCCUUGGAGGGGGAGAGUUGAUGGUCUUUGGUAACCUGGGUAGCAGGAGCCUGGCUCAAAACUAGGAAGGUUUCGGCCUGGAGGCGGCCCGGAAGGGAAGCAGGGCUGGAGAGGGUUCAAGGGUUGGCGAGCCUAGGUUGAUGCUGCGCCUGCACUGGAGCCUCAGCAUGGCACGGGUUCCCCGGGAGCAACACCCCUCUGCACCCGCCCCUCCCCCAGCACACAGGGCAGGGAGUGGUGACCCCCAAAGCAGAAACAGAGAGAAGACAUUAGAUGCAUGUGCGGAUAAGAGAGCUCGCGCCUGGCAGGCCUAGGGCCCAGGCUUCCAUCCCCGGCCCGCAGGGUCUCAGGGGCAAGAGGGUCUCAGCAACAGUACUUGCCUCACUCCCACCCCGCUGAAUGUGGAAUCUGGGGCACUUGAGGGGGGCUGGGAGGGGAUCACAGAGGGCCGGGCUCCAAAGGGACAUACAUCACCGAGGGCUGGGAUUUCCCUGACGCCCAUCCAAGAGGUCCUAAUGUCUCCUCAGUGUAAGUCAUGCUGCUGUGGUCUGAGGGGACCCGAACUGUGGGUGCUGAGGGGCAGGAAGGCACCGUUCAGAGGGAUGUGGAGCCACCUCUGAGGGCUGGGAGCACCGUACCCUGGGGCUGCCUAGGACCACCUCUGCUUGGUCCUAGUCCUGUCCAACAGUUUAACAGGCUCUGUUUCCUGAGCAGAAGCACCCAGCAAAACCCAGAGCAGGGGCGGAGCGAUGGCACAGCGGGUGGGGCGUGUGCCUUGCACGCGGCAGAUUGGGGUUCGAUCCCCGCAUCCCAUAUGGUCCCCGAAACAGGCCAGGAGUCCUUCCUGAGUGCAGAGCCAGGAGUAACCCCUGAGCAACGCAGGGUGAGACCCAAAAGAAAAAAAAAGAAUCCGGAGUAGCUCAGAGCAAGCACGCCCGCAGCCCUUUUCCCCGUCACCUGACUCCCAGCCCGGUUGCCAUGGUUCCGGGGGCGGUGCCCGAGAAGGCUUUGGAGCCCCGGAGGGUAGCAAAGGAACAUCUCGGCGGUCCCUUCGGAACUUUUUCUAGUGCUUUCCUGUUAGUUUCUGUCGGCGUCAUUCCAGAUCUUCAGACCUCAGCGAGGAAACUGGCUGAAUUUACGGCGUUUCCGUCAUCGAGGUUUCGUGGUGGAUAUUUUGUCCUGCAGGUGUCAGUGUUGUCCCGUUCCUCCCAGGCCCGCUCUUCCCCCCUCCCUUCGUGCUUAUAAAAAAUCAAUAGCAAAAAAAAAAAAAGCCGCAGUAGCUCAGAGCUGCCAGGCCCGCUGCCCUGUUCCCUGUCACCUGACUCCAGCCCGGUUGCCAUGGUUCCGGGGGCGGUGCCCCAGAAGUCUUUUGAGCCCGGGAAAGUGUAGCAAAGGAACAUCUCGGCGGUCCUUUCGGAAGUUUUUCUAGUGCUUUCCCGUUAUUUUCUGUCGGCGUCAUUCCAGAUCUUCAGACCUCAGCGAGGAAACUGGCUGAAUUUACGAUUUUUUGUUCAAUUAAUUUCCGGGGUCGAUAUUUUUUCCUGCAGACGGCAGUGUUGUCCCGUUGCUCCCAGGCCCUCUCUUCCCCCCUCCCUCCCUGCUUAAAAAAAAUCAAUAGCAAAAAAAAAAAAAAUGCCGACGGAGCUCUGAAGGCCCAGGCACGCCGGUAUUUUCCUGGACCGCCUGACUCCCAGCCCCGUUGCCAAGGUUCCGGGGGCGGUGCCGGCGGAGUCUUCAGAGCCCGGAAGGUAGCAAAGCAACCUCUGGGCGGUCCUUUCGGAAAUUUUUUUUUUUUUUUUGCUUUUUGCGUCACACACAGCAAUGCACAGGGGUUACCCCUGGCUCUGCACUUUGAAAUUACUCCUGGCGGUGCUCCCGGGACCAUAUGGGCCGCUGGGAAUGGAACCGCCCUACCGGCUCUGCUAUCGCUCCAGCCCCCUCUCGGAACUUUUUCUAGUGCUUUCCCGGUAUUUUCUUUCGUCGUCAUUUCAGAUGUUCAAAUGCCAGCGAGGAAAACUGGGUGCAUUUAUAGCUUUUCCUUCAUCGAGUUGUCGUGGUGGAUAUUUUGUCCUGCAGGGGGCAGUGUUGUCCCGUUCCUCCCAGGGCCGCUCUUCUCCCCCUCCCUUCCUGCUUCAAAAAAAUCAAAAGAAAAAAAAGCCGGCCCAGCUCGGACAGAUCCCGCCCGCCGCCACGUUCCCGGAUCACCUGUCCCCCGCCCCUUUGCCAGGGCUCCACGGCGGUGCAAUGUUCGGAACAUCUCGGCGCUCCUCAGCGGUGCUUUCGGAACUUUUUCUAGUGCUUUCCCGUUAUUUUCUGUCAGAGUCAGUCCAGAUCUUCCGACCUCAGCGAGGAAAACCGGCGGAAAAUAGUUUCUGCCACUAGAAAUGGUCACCGUUCCUUUUAUCUUCCUCUAGAUGGCAGUAGCGCCGCGCUCAGCACCUCCGCAGCACUCUCCCCCCUCCCUUUGCGUUUCAAAAAAAUUGCCUCGCGUUUUUUUUUUUUCUUUUCCCUUUGAAAGGGAGUUCUUCCUGUCUGGGAGGCGACUAAACCUGUGCAAGUCCUCCUCUUUGUGGAGAUACUUUUUAAUUUGCUUCAGUUGGAAAAACAAAUUCUGGUUUAAGAAAGUGUAUAUUCUGUCACUGAAAUGAAAAGUUAAAAAAAUACCACUAGUCAGGCUCUUAAAGGGAAAGUAUCACAAUUCAAUUUCACUAAACUAGGAGCUGCAGAAACUAGGUUCUCCCAUUAGAAAUGUUCACAGUGGUUCCUGCUUCCUGGGGCUGCUGGGUUGUGGCAGGGCUAGUAUACAGAGAUGGGAGCCCUCCUUGAUGCCUUCUUUCCAGCCCUUUUGUUCUGUUUCUUUUGGGUACCUGAAAUGGGCUUGGCGGGGGUGGGGGGGUGUGAUGUGCACAAUAGCUGUGCCUGUUCCUGACUCUGCUUGGGGUUGCUGGUGUUGCAUGGUUGACCUGGUGGUGGUGGGAGAAUCUAAUCAGGGUUUGAAGCUAGCAAAGGAAGGACACUGUCCCCGUUAUUUAUUUAAUUAUUUGUUUAGUUUUUAAUGAAACCCAUUUAUUAAGGAAAUAGAAUGGAGAAUAGGGAAUUCCAUUAUGUAAAAGAAUGGAAUUUUGUAUCCCAAGAGGUAAUCAGGUGACCACAGAGAAGCCUGCAUUUGGAAAGUGGAUUUUCUUUUUUGUGUGUGUGAAACAAUUUGGUUUAGGAUAUUUGGCGGUGGGGAAUAGGGCUUACUCCUGGAUCUGUGUGCUUAGGCAUCACUACUGGCUGGACUGAGGCCUGGUGCUGGGAUGGAACCUGCAUGAAAGGCAUGUUCUUUACCUGUUGUACUGUCUCUUCAGCCCUGAUUUAGGAUGGUUUUAACAGUAAUGGUAGAGGCAUCUAAUGGUCCAAUACCACACCCACCUCAGAAUCUUUGAGUUGCUCUCUAUAAGUCUCAGUUCCUCUCCCUGACCUUAAUAAACUCAGUUUAUUAGGGACUCUCAGGGUUUGUUUUAUUUUACCAUUGGCCAUUUCAGGCCCUUCCUAAGUUCUUUUGUCCAUAGAAGGGAUCAUUAUUAGUUCCUUGUCUCUCUGACUCUUGUCCUUCUGACUCACCUUGAUCAGAAAGAUAUCCUCCUGUUCCAUUCAUGUCUAGGGUAACCGCAUGAUUUCAUCUUUUCUUAUGGUUGAGUAGUAUUCCUCUGUGUGUAUGUACCAGUUUCUUCAUUCUUUAUCCACUCAUCUGUUCUUGGGCACUGGGUGUUUCCAGAUCUUGGCUACAAGGAAUAGCAUUGCAAUGAGCAUAGAAAUGCAACUAUCUUUACCAAUUAAUUUCUUGUGCUGUUAGAGUAGAUGCCAAGGAGUGGAAUCUCUGGGUCUUAAGGGAAUUUAAGUCUUAAUUUUUGAGCAGUAAGGCUAUUGUACUCCAUUUUCGCUCACCAUUUUAGUUUUAGCACAUUAUUUUUAGAAAAGAAUAUAAUACCCCCAGUAUGUUCUCAGUAUCUUUGCUAAUCAAGUAACUGACUUUUUUUUACAGGUGCCUGACUUUUACAGUACUUUCACUGUUCUUCUUGGUUUUGGUUACAGGGGGUAGGGGUCAGGGGAGGCACGCUAGUCAUACUUGGUGCAGGGAUUGAACCCUGGCCACUGCAUACAUGUGCUCCAGCCUGUGUAACUAUCUCUCUUAGCCACAUAAGUCUGUUUUUAGAAAGACAGGUUGCUUGCAAACUGAUAGUCCGAGUGACCAAUAAAUUCCCAUGUGGACUGGUUCUCUGAGGCAUGGUUCAAUCAUCCGGAGUAUACCUAAAUCUAAAGAAAAAUUUCUGAUGGAGGUUUCAGCCUUUAUGUCUGUCCCUUGGAUAGACUUUUGGUAAAAGGGCUCAAGAAACUAAAUGUUCUUUCCAUUUUGAACAGCCCAAUCCCAAAAGGGGAAGGCAAGUUUUAUUUGUUUUGUGUUGGUUUUUGUUGUUUAUUGUUGUUGGUAUUUUUUUGUUUGUUCGUUUGUUUUGCUUGUUUUUUUUUUUUGGUUUGGGUUACUCCUGGCUCUACUAGGCUUACUCCUGGCUCUGCAGUCUGUUCUGGGAUCAUUCUUGGUAGUACUCAUGGGACAAUAUGGGGUACCCCCCAUAAACCGGGUUGUAAGGCAAGGCAAGUGCACAUACUAUAUAUCCAUACUAUAUAUAUGUGGGGGGGGGUGUCCAGCCUUCUCUGGAUCUGUUGCAGGCUCCAGGUGAAAGUCUUGUCAGGCCUUAGUUCCUGUUUUCUGCAAAGUGGUUUUUUGCAACUUCAGGGCUAUUGAUAGUAUUAAUUCCCAGGAAAUUCAUUGCCACUGCCUAGGUGGAAAGGGGCCGUACCUAUCUACCUGCCUGUCUGCAUCACUUUUUCUGAUAGAACAUUCAUGUCAGUCAUUAUAGGAGACAUUCAGUCAAAAAAUAAAAAACAAUGUAUGAGGACAGUGAGAGAUCUCACUGAGGUCUGACUGAGGCAGAGCAUGAAUAGAAGGGUGUAUUGCUGACCUUGCUUUAGACUGGUCAUCAAAAAAGCACAGGAUAGCUGAGUAGACAAGAGGGGAUUUAUUUCCAAGAAACAACUUAACUUGGGAAGGAUGUCUAUCAGCACAGGCUACAGAGCAAAGAGAGGAAGGAGGGGGGUCUGGUUUUUAAUAACUGAUGGAGUUAAGGUGACUUAACAGUUUCUGUGUAUUUGGUUGUUUUUCAGGAAACGCAUGCAUGUUUAUGAGUGGAAACAGUGAGAUGUGCUAUUGAGGAACGUACGCGGACGGACAUCAGGUGAAGAGAAAAUGGUGAAAAAACAUUAUUGGGGUUUUUUUAGUAUAGUAAUGAGGAGAAAGAUGGCUGUAGGUCAGAGUUCCAUGAAACAGUCUCCACUGAUCAUAUCGUCCUGCCAGGGGUCUGAGUCCCUUAUUAGACCAAAGGUACCCUUGAGGUUCUGUCCGCAGCAAUGAAAGCCAAAACAAUGUAGCAAGGUGACUUCUCCCUGAGAGCGUUUUCAAAUGCUCCAAACUGUAAGCCUCAAGUCAAUAUAUCUUAGCUUCUUUGUUGGUUUAGGGUUUGGUUGUUUUGCAAAAAGUCUUGGUCCUCAGCUUCAAGAGCUCUGCAUCCUCCAAAGACAAGAAGAGAAUAGCAGGGGCUGGAGCGAUGGCACAGCGGGUAGGGCGUUUGCCUUGCACGCGGCCGACCCGGGUUCGAAUCCCAGCAUCCUAUAUGGUCCCCUGAGUACCGCCAGGGGUGAUUCCUGAGUGCAUGAGCCAGGAGUGACCCCUGUGCAUCGCCACCAAAAAGCAAAAAAAAAAAAAAAAAAAAAAGAAGAGAAUAGCAUGGACCUGUUCACACACAGGACAAGAUAAUCUGGGUGAAGUUCAGGGGCCCAGGAAAGUCAGUGCAAUCCUGAAAGGUGACUCCUCAAUCUGUCUUGAGAGACCCUGAAGACCAAUCCACAAGUCAUACAGGAUCCCAGCCAGCUGGUGGUAUUCAAAGAUGCCUCCGUGGUGCUUAUCUGACCUCAGGAUGGUGUGGAGGCCACCCCCAACCCAUGCAUCUGGCAGCAAGAAGCCUAGUAGGUAUUCUUCACACCGGACAAGUGACCCAUUGACUCUAUGCUGCCCAAUGGAACAGAAUUUUCCCUUUUGUACAUGUCACAAAUUUCUUUACUUAAUAAAUUGCAAACCUGAGCAAAGAUAAUAUGCAGGAAAAACAUAUUGAUAAUUCAUUAAAGAUUAUUCCUCCAGAAUUGCAAAGAAUAUUUCUUUUCUUUUUCUGGUAGGGGGAGCACAUCCAGGGAUGCUCAGGAGUAACUCCUGGCUCUGCAGUCAGGAAUCACUUCUGGCAAUGCUCGAGGGACAUUAUGGGAUGCCGGAGAUGGAACCUGGGGCAGCAGCAGCAGCAGCCCUGCCCACUGUACGAUCGUUUCUCUUCACAAAUAAUAUUAUUUCUUUUUUUAUUAUUUUUGGCUUGGUCACACCCAGCGAUGCUCAAGGGUUACUCCUGGCUCUUCACCCAGAAAUCAUUCCUGAAGGUGUGCAGGGGACCAUAUGAGAUUACGGGGAUCAAACUUGGAUUGGCUGAAUGCAAGGCAAAUGCCCUACCUGCUGUACUAUCACUCCAGUCCCACAAAUAAUAUUUAUAUACAUACAUCUUUUUUGGGGGGGGGAGGGACACACCCAGCAGUGCUCAGAGCUUAUUCCUAGCUCUGUCCUUAGGGAUCACUCGUGGCAUGACUUAGGGAACUAUAUAGAGUGCCAGGGAUCAAACCCAGUCAACGAUAUGCGAGGCAAGCCCCCUACCUGUACUAUCACUCCAGCCCCUAUACAUAGAUCUUUUUACCAUCUGUGGUGGUCUAUGAAAGAUUACCAGGCAUACUGGAUUGAAAGACAAACUUUUAAGAAUCUAGAAGCACAUUAAAAAUUAUUUUUCAUACCCUCCUUAGCAUUUUUUACUAUCUUCAAAUAAUAUGCAUAUAGAUUUUAAUAGUUGUAUGAGAGGAAAUAUAGCCCUACCCAGACAAAUAUAAUGCAACUACUUUUCUUAUUUUUUGUCUUUUAAUCAUGCUUGUGGUUUUAGAUGCAUAGACAAUUUAAUUAACCAAUAAUUUGGAUUUGGGGCCCACAGCUGGCAGUGCUUGGGCUAUAUUUCCAGCCCAUUGUUUAGGAGUCACUGCCAGUUGUGCUCAAGGGCUCAGCGGUGCCAGGGAUCCAAUUUAGGUCUCUAACAUGCAAAGCAUGCACUGUAGACUGUAGCACUUUGAGGUAUUUCCUCAGAUCAGAGUUUUUUUUAAUUAAAUCACAGUGAGAUACCAACAGUUCCGAAGUUGUUCAGGAUUGAGUUUCUUCUUCUGGUUUUUUCUGUUUUCUUUUCUUUCUUUUUUUUUUUUUUGCAUUUUGGGUCACACCCAGUGGUGCUCAGAGGUUACUCCUGGCUCUGUACUCAGGAAUCACUCCUAGCAAUGCUCGGGGAACCAUAUGGGAUGCCGGGGAUAGAACCUGGGUCGGCAGUGUGCAGAUCAAACACCCUACCCGCUGUUCUAUCUCUCUGGCCUCUUUAAAUUAUUUUUUGGGGGGUCACACCCAGCAAUGCUCAGGGGUUACUCCUGACUCUGCACUCAGGAAUUACUCCUGGGGGUUCCUGUGGGACCAUAUGGGAUGCCAGGAAUCCAACCCGGGUCGGUCGCAUGUAAGGCAAAUGCCCUACCCGCUGUACUAUCGCUCCGGCUGAGUUUCACUCAUAUAAGGUUCCAACACCUCAUAUAUUCACUUCACCAGUGUACAUUUCCCACCACCAAUGUCCCCAGUUUCCCUCCCACACACCCCACCACCUGCCUCUAUGAUAGUUUGACAGGCACUUUUCUUCUCUCUCUCCCUCUCUCUCUCUCUCUCUCUCUCCCUCCCUCUCCUUCCCUCCCCCUCCCUCCCUCCCUUCCUCCCUCCCUCCCUCCCUCCCUCCCUCCCUCCUUUUGGGCAUUGUAGUUUGCAAUAUAGAUACUUAAAUGUUAUCAUGUAUAUCCCUUUACCUACCUUCAAUACUCAGUUCUUGUCCAGAGUGAUCAUUUCAUGCUAUUAUUGUCAUACUGCAGACCAGAUAUUUGAAUGUAGUGAUCUAUCUCUAACAUUUUUUUUCUGCAUGGCUACAAAGCUGAAAAGGCCCUUCCUAACCCAUCUGUACCAUAGCUUAUUUCCCCCCACCCUAUGUGAUCCAAGAGUCCCGUUGAUGCAUUCAGGAGUCAAAUCAAUGCCUAGCUAGAAAUCUCCAUGUAGGGGCACCUUGAACAAAGGAAGGGCACGCAUAUACUGCCUAAGCCCAUGUGUUGCUUGUGCCCACAUGGCAGAGCACAUGUGGUGCCUGAGCACAUGUGUCGCCCACAUCUCCCUUCUUGAGAUGUGUACUGAGCCUCUCUCUACCUUUGGAGAAGCAUUCCUUGCAUUCCUUCCCCCCCCCCCAAUAAAAUCUGUUUUUACUUAAGUGCUCAUCUACUCUUGAAAUUCCUUUCUGUGAGGCAGACAAGAGCCUAUAAACCCUGGGUGAGGCCCAGGGCUGACUCUCCUUUCCUGCAAAGAGCAAAUCUCAUUCCAUCCUGAGUCCUAAUCUUCCCAGUAGAUCCCAGGGUGGCAGAGGUGGAUCAGGAGAAAGUGACUUUCUCUCUCCUCUCCACCUCACAUAAGCCAGCCGUGGGGGCCCACCAACUUAACUGCCACCUUGUCUCUCAGGAACCCUUCAGCACUAGGCCUGGAAUUCUGCAUCUUAUUGGCUUUCCAGGCUCCUGAGAAAGGUCCUUUGUGUCAAAGUGAUGUAAGCAGGCAGUGAGGUAGAUAGGGAAGCCCUCCCCCCACCCCCCAUCCGAGGCAAUGGCAAUGAAUUUCCUGGGAAAUAAUAUCAAUAGCUCUGAAGUUGCAGUAGGACUUUCACCUGGAGCCUGCAACAGACCCAGAGAAGGCUGGACCACCACCCCUUACCACCCCUUCCUAGAAAAGCUCCAGCAGGAACAAAAAUGCCAGGAAAGGAAUGUCAAAGAUCGCAUAGACCACUCCCUACUCUGUCCCCCUUGGCUAGCUCCUUAGCAAUGAACUUUACCAGGUAGAAGCCCCACCUGGGGGCAGGUUUGAAAAACUCUAUAAAGGGGGCUGGAGUGAUAGUACAGCAGGUAGGGCGAUUACCUUGCACACAGACAACCCGGGUUUGAUUCCCAACAUCCCACAUGGUCCCACAAACACUGCCAGGAGUGAUUGCUGAUUGCAGAGCCAGGAGUAACCCCUGAGCAUCGCUGGGUGUGACCCAAAAAGCAAAAAUAAAUAAAUAAAUAAAUAAAUACAUAAAUAUAAACCCUAUAAAAGCCACCUUGAGAAAAGGAAGGACAUACAUAUGUUGCUGGAGCCCAUGUGCUGCUUGUGCCUAGACAGUCCAGCACACGGGGUGCCUGCAACUCCCCUCAACAUGUGUACUUUCAUCUCUAAUGCUGGGGUGUGUGUCGUGGCUUCUCAGCCUUUGGAGAAGCCCGUGUUCUCUGUUGAGCACCUCUCUCUCUCUCUCUCUCUCUCUCUCUCUCUCUCUCUCUCUCUCUCUCUCCCCCUCCUCCCUCCCUUCCUCCUUCCUCUUCCUAAAAACCUCCAAAUAAAAUCUGUUUUUCUUUCAUUGCUGUCUACAAAUUCUUCUCUCCGAGGUGAGACAAGAACCCAGUAACCGUGGGUUCCAGAGUAACAAAGGUAGAUGGGCAGAAAGUGACCUCUUUCCUUCCGCCUCACAUAAGCCACCCCUGGGGUCCGUGGAUAUCAAAAAGCCUCAAUGCCUUAUGGUUAGUUCAGGUUUCAAAGGCUCUUUUCCCCAAAAUGAUGUCAGUGGGCCCCACAGGUGACUUAUGUGAAGUGGGGAGCAGAAAGAGGGUCACUUUCUCCCAAUCCACCUCAGCCACCCAGGACCCAGGGUGUUCUUAUCUCGACUUGCAGAAAGGAAUUUCAGGAGUAGAGAAGCAGUGAAAUUAAAGUUUAUAUUUGGAGGUUUUGAAGGGAAGGAGGGAGAGAAAGUAGCAGAGAGUGGAGAGUAUCAUGCUCAAGAGAGAAUCUGGGCUUCUCCAAGGGCGGAGAGAGCCCCUACACACAUCCCAGCAUAACAUGAAAGCAAUCCCUUCAUGAUUGGAUUUCAGUCAUACAGCAGGGAGAUGCGGGCGACCAGAUGUGCUCCGCCACAUGGGCGCAAGCAGCACAAGGGCUUCAGCAGCAUAUGUGCGCCCUUCCCUUGUUCAAGGUGGUCUUUAUAGGGUUUCUCCAACCUGUCCCCAUGUGCGGCUCCUACCUAGGUCUAAGUUUAUUGCUAAGGAGUUUGGGAGUAGUGAUGAUCUUUUUUUGAAAUUCCUUUCCUGGCCUUUUGUCUCUGGAGGAGCUUCUCUGGACUGUUGCUGUAGAUGGGUGAGGGUCUUUUAAGGCCUCAAUUCCUGUUUUUUUCCUGUUUUCUUCUGAGGGUCUUAUCAGCAGCAAAUUCAGGCCAUUUCUUCCCAGGAAAUUUUGCCAUUGCCUUUGGAGGGGCCUUCCCUAUCGCACCUACAUCAAAAACACUUCUUUCCUUCUUUCUUUCUUUCUUUCUUUCUUUCUUUCUUUCUUUCUUUCUUUCUUUCUUUCUUUCUUUCUUUCUUUCUUUCCUUCCUUCCUUCCUUCCUUCUUUCUUUCUUUCUUUCUUUCUUUCUUUCUUUCUUUCUUUCUUUCUUUCUUUCUUUCUUUCUUUCUUUCUUUCUUUCCUGCCUCCCUCCCUCUCUCUCUCUCUUUCUCGUUUUCUUCCUUCCUUCCUUCCUUCCUUCCUUCCUUCCUUCCUUUCUUUCUUUCUUUCCUCCCUCCCUCCUUUCUGCUUUCUUUCUUUCUUUCUUUCCUUCUUUCUUUCUUUCUUUCUUUCUUUCUUUCUUUCUUUCUUUCUUUCUUUCUUUCUUUCUUUCUUUCUUUCUUUCUUUCUUUCUUUCUUUCUUUCUUUCUUUCCUGCCUCCCUCCCUCUCUCUCUCUCUUUCUCGUUUUCUUCCUUCCUUCCUUCCUUCCUUCCUUCCUUCCUUCCUUCCUUCCUUCCUUCCUUCCUUCCUUCCUUCCUUCCUUCCUUUCUUUCUUUCUUUCUUUCUUUCCUCCCUCCCUCCUUUCUGCUUUCUUUCUUUCUUUCUUUCUUUCUUUCUUUCUUUCUUUCUUUCUUUCUUUCUUUCUUUCUUUCUUUCUUUCUUUCUUUCUUCUUAAUUUUAUUGAAUCACUGUGAGAUAGUUAGAAGCUUUCCUGUUUGGGUUACAAUCACACAAUGAUCAAACACCCAGUCCUCCACCAGUGCACAUUCCCCACCACCGGUAUCCCGGGUAUACCCCCCCCCCCUUUCCCACCUUCUCCCUGCCUCCAUGGCAGAUAAUAUUCCCCAUACUCUCUCUACUUUUGGGCAUUAUGGCUUGCAACACAGACACUGAGAGGUCAUCAUGUUUGAUCCGUUAUCUACUUUCAGCAUGCAUCUCCUAUCCCGACUGAUUCAUCAGCCAUCAUUUUCUUAGUGAUCACCCUUCUCUAUUCCGUCUGCCUUCUCCCCUCCGCUCAUGAAGCAGUCUUCCAGCUAUGGGGCAAUCCCCCUGGCCCUUGUAUCUACUGUCCUUGGAAAACACACAUAUCUAGGACCUGCAACACUACCAAAAAUUCCAACUGGCACCUUAGCUUGAAUCCCAUUGCCAGGCAGUCCAUUAACAUUGCUUACCUUUCUAUCUCCUUGCAAGAGCUCUUCCACUCCUGCUUUUGAUAUAUAGGCAGGCAGGCAGAUAGGGAAGGCCCCCUCCCCAGGCAAUGGCAGUAAAUUUCCUGGGAGUUAAUAGCUGAGUUGCAAAGGCCUACAUUGCAGAAAACAGGAACUAAGGCCGGAUAAGACCCUGAUAAGACCCUCACCUGGUGCAAGUAAGGGACCUGAGGAGACUGGACCCCUUCCCAUGAAGGAAAUUCAUCUGACGCUGGGAUUUGUGUAGGGGCUCUCUCCACCCUUGGAGAAGCCCCGGUUCUCUCUUGAGCAUGAUACUCUCCACUCUCCCACUUUCUCUUCCUCCUUCCCUCCAAAACCUCCACAUAAAAUCUGUUUUACUUCACUGCUUGUCCACUCCUGAAAUUCUUUUCUAGGAGGCAAUACAAGAACCUAGUAACCCUGGAUCCCGGGUGGUAGAGGUGGAUCAGGAGAAAGUGACCGUCUUUGGGCUCCCCACUUCUCAUGCUUCACCAGUGGGGCCCACCGACAUCACUUUCACUUGACAAAAACCACAUUGCUUUAGGGACAGAAAGAAUAGUACAAGAUUGUAGGUACCUGCUUUGUGUGUGGCCUAGUCUGAUUCUAGAUAUGGUACCCUGAGUCUAGCCAGGAGUCAUUCCUGAAAACUGGGUGUGUCACAACGCUCCACCCUGCAACCACAAAUGCUUUUUUUCCAAGAAUUUUCUUAUUAAGAUCUUUAAACUUGUUUAGAGCAUUACAGAGCCGUUCAUGAUUGGAUUUCAGUCAUACAGUAGUCCAAUACCCAUCCCUCCACCAGGGUACAUUCCCCAGCAGGAUUGUCCCCAGGUUCCCUUCCCCCCGCCAACACGCCCUUUUGGCAGGGGCUUUUCCCUCUCUCAGGUGAGGCAGAAGCGGUGGCCGCCGGUCUAUGUAUGCUUUCGUGAUUCCCACUUAAUAAAUAUGCUCACACUCAAGAUUUGGAAAGUAUGAGAAGAAAAGCUGCUUCCCAAAUGGGGAGGAGCUUAGUAUAAGACUAAGUUAAAUAUGGCUCUUUUUGUGAGAUUUUUUAUAGGAAAACUGGGUCUUUGUGUGACAGACAAAGCAGGGAAUCUACAGGGUGGUUGGCUAGUUUGUCUUUCUGCUCACCUGCCUUGGGUUCAUUAUGUUAGCCUUGUGACUCCUAGUUCUGGGACAGAAGAGUAGGAUCCUGGGGUGCUAUAAAAGAUAGGGCUUUGGUGAUGAGGUGUGCUCAGUCCAUGAAGAAAACUGGAAUGACUGGCAAAGAAACGGUAGACUCCCAUAUCUUGUUGGCUAGGGGAAACAGGCUUAUUCUUUCAUUUUAAAUUAAUAUUUAUUAUACUGAAAGGGUCGGCA